AAGGGAGACCUAAUUCGGGUAUAAGACGAAAAAAGAGUAGUCGAAACCAAGAAUCAAUCCCAAAAGGUCGGAACGAGGUAUGUGGCUUUCAAACUAGGUUCUGGGUUCACACAAGACCUGAAUCAGGAACAGGGGCUAUUAGCUCAGGUGGUUAGAGCGCACCCCUGAUAAGGGUGAGGUCCCUGGUUCGAGUCCAGGAUGACCCACCUGCACAGGUGGCAAAAACAAAGAAGCGAGGAAUCAGCACCUUAUCUUAUCUAUAUAUAAGAGAGAAUGCUGGCUCUGAGUAAAGAGUCCAGAGGAACCUUGAAAACUGCAUAGAGCUAGGUGAAAAAGCCAAAAAAGAAGACCGCAA
This 355-nucleotide transfer RNA is filed under the name uncultured Microcystis sp. RNAcentral's name for it is "partial 16S-23S ribosomal RNA intergenic spacer". The stretch from base 133 to 206 matches the Rfam family "tRNA". Lineage: Bacteria; Bacillati; Cyanobacteriota; Cyanophyceae; Chroococcales; Microcystaceae. The record is from RNAcentral.